ACGAACCGUCCAAACGUUAUUCGGAAUCACUGGGCUUACAGAGUUCGUAGGCGGCGGAGAAAGUAGGGUGUGAAAGCCCUCGGCUCGACCGAGGAAUUGCGCCCUAAACUACUUUGCUUGAGGAGGCUAGAGGUGAGCAGAACAGAUGGUGGAGCGGUGAAAUGCGUUGAUAUCAUCUGGAAUACCGGAGGCGAAGGCGG
RNAcentral lists this ribosomal RNA (200 nucleotides) under uncultured prokaryote. RNAcentral's name for it is "partial 16S ribosomal RNA". It matches the Rfam family "Bacterial small subunit ribosomal RNA", at positions 525 to 724 of the family's 1533-position model. The record is from RNAcentral.